This 47-nucleotide non-coding RNA is filed under the name unclassified sequences. The record is from RNAcentral.
ACGUCGAGACUACGUCGUUAGUAGGUUUGAUUUAUUCAACUCGACGU